RNAcentral lists this ribosomal RNA (271 nucleotides) under Penaeus monodon (black tiger shrimp). Its description in RNAcentral is "partial 16S ribosomal RNA". Lineage: Eukaryota; Metazoa; Arthropoda; Malacostraca; Decapoda; Penaeidae. The record is from RNAcentral.
GACAAAAAGUAAUCUGUCUCAAUUGUAAUAGUUGAACUUAACUUUUAAGUGAAAAGGCUUAAAUACUUUAAGGGGACGAUAAGACCCUAUAAAACUUGACAAUAAAUUAGUUAAAUUAUAAAUUGUUAGUAUAACUUGAUUUUAGUUAAUGUUUGUUGCGUUGGGGCGACGGGAAUAUAAUUAGUAACUGUUCUUAAAUACUUAUUAACAAGUAUAAUUGAAAAAUAAUUGAUCCUUUAUUAAAGAUUAAAAGAUUAAGUUACUUUAGGGA